RNAcentral lists this ribosomal RNA (551 nucleotides) under Stemphylium sp. 120. RNAcentral describes it as "eukaryotic LSU rRNA". The stretch from base 192 to 345 matches the Rfam family "5.8S ribosomal RNA". Lineage: Eukaryota; Fungi; Ascomycota; Dothideomycetes; Pleosporales; Pleosporaceae. The record is from RNAcentral.
UGCGGAGGGAUCAUUACACAAUAUGAAAGCGGGUUGGGACCUCACCUCGGUGAGGGCUCCAGCUUGUCUGAAUUAUUCACCCAUGUCUUUUGCGCACUUCUUGUUUCCUGGGCGGGUUCGCCCGCCACCAGGACCAAACCAUAAACCUUUUUGUAAUUGCAAUCAGCGUCAGUAAACAAUGUAAUUAUUACAACUUUCAACAACGGAUCUCUUGGUUCUGGCAUCGAUGAAGAACGCAGCGAAAUGCGAUACGUAGUGUGAAUUGCAGAAUUCAGUGAAUCAUCGAAUCUUUGAACGCACAUUGCGCCCUUUGGUAUUCCAAAGGGCAUGCCUGUUCGAGCGUCAUUUGUACCCUCAAGCUUUGCUUGGUGUUGGGCGUCUUUGUCUCUCACGAGACUCGCCUUAAAAUGAUUGGCAGCCGACCUACUGGUUUCGGAGCGCAGCACAAUUCUUGCACUUUGAAUCAGCCUUGGUUGAGCAUCCAUCAAGACCACAUUUUCUUAACUUUUGACCUCGGAUCAGGUAGGGAUACCCGCUGAACUUAAGCAUAU